CAGAUGGGGGCUCAGUCGGGGCCCCUUCCACAGACACAGCCCUGGCCCCUCAAGGUGGAUGGCGAGGCCGCUGCUCCUCCAGCUGCCUCCGUCUCAUCGCAGGCCAGAAGUGGAAAGGGUUUCAAACCCAAGCCUGUGUUCCCGUCUGUGUUCUAUGCAGCAAGGCUUGAAAGUUUCAAGCUGGUUUGGAACUCAACCAGGUCCUCCAAAGGAAACCAAGGCAGGCACAGGAUGGGUGCAGGCUGGCUUGGCAGGCCAAUGUGCCGAUCCACCCAGAGUGCCCUGGGAGGCAGUGGGGUUGGCUCUGGCUCCUGUGAACUGCAGCCAGGCCUCUCCCGGUGCCCAGGGUCCGGAAGGAGGGGCUUGUACAAUGUUAUCACCCGGGGACUGCGAAGGCCUGGAGCCCUACCUUCCACCCAUUAACAGAGAAAGGGAUAGUUUCAGAACUGCUUUUAUUUGGAUAACUGACUGAAGGAGUCUCAUUUGUAACCAAGAUGGAAUUCACAGUAUGUUGUUACAUUCACACUUAAAAAAUGUAUCUCUAUGUACAGGAAUUUGCAAAUAGAUGUAAACAUACAUUACUUUCCAAGUACAUUUCUCCCCUUCUCCUUGGAGGAAAAAAAGCCAUCCAACGAGGCAACCCCUUCAAAAUGAUUUUAAUACAAAGGAUGCAAACAUCUA
RNA transcript from Macaca mulatta (Rhesus monkey), 681 nucleotides. RefSeq lists it as uncharacterized. The record is from RefSeq and is a predicted model, not a curated record. NCBI's taxonomy places the organism in Eukaryota, Metazoa, Chordata, Mammalia, Primates, Cercopithecidae.